RNAcentral lists this ribosomal RNA (321 nucleotides) under uncultured Prevotella sp. RNAcentral's name for it is "partial 16S ribosomal RNA". Lineage: Bacteria; Pseudomonadati; Bacteroidota; Bacteroidia; Bacteroidales; Prevotellaceae. The record is from RNAcentral.
GGAGUUUGGUCCGUGUCUCAGUACCAAUGUGGGGGACCUUCCUCUCAGAACCCCUACUGAUCGAUGGCUUGGUGGGCCGUUACCCCGCCAACAACCUAAUCAGACGCAUCCCCAUCCCAUAGCGAUGAAUCUUUGCUCCUCGUCAGAUGCCAUCAAAGGAGAACAUAGGGCAUUAAUCCGACUUUCGCCGGGCUAUUCCCUACUAUGGGCCAGGUUGGAUACGCGUUACUCACCCGUGCGCCGGUCGCCAUCAGGGAUUGCAAGCAACCCCCACUGCUGCCCCACGACUUGCAUGUGUUAAGCCUGUAGCUAGCGUUCAUC